ACUCUCUCGCGAGAGGGCCGCAGAGCCGCCUUUGACGGGGGCGUGUACCUGGAGAGCAACGCUCUUGACAAAAUUCUCAGGGAAAACUCUUCAGCUCUGGAUGUCUCCCUUUUUGUGGAUCAAACACAAAGGGCAUCAUUCUAAAAUAUAUACAGAACCAUAAAAGCCCCAAAUAGCCAAAGCAACCCUGAGCAAAAAGAACAAGGCUGGAAGCAUCACACUACCAGACUUCAAAAUUUACUACAAAGCUCUAAUACCUAAAAUAACAUGGUACUGGCAUUAAAAAAAAAAAAAAAAUAGGCACAUAGACCACCAAUGAAACAGUAUAGAGAAUCUAGAUAUACCAACUCAUCUUUAACAAAGGUGCCAAGAACAUACAAUGAGGAAACGAUGGUCUUUUCAAUAAAUGGUGUGGGGGAAAGCUAGAUAACUAUAUGCAGAAGAAUGAAACAAGAUUCCUCUCUCUCGCUAUACACAAAAAUCAAAUCAAAAUGGAUUAAAGGCUUAAAUCUAAGACCUGAAACUACAAAACUAGAAGAACACACUGGAGAAGUGCUCCAGGACCUUGGUCUGGGAAAAGAUUUUUUUGUUUAAGACCUCAAAAGCACAGACAACAAAGCAAAAACAGACAAAUGAGAUUACAUUAAGCUAAAAAGUUUCUGCACAGCAAAGGAAACACUCAACAGAGUGGGGGAGACAACCCACAGAAUGAGAGAAAACAUUUUCAAACUAUCCAUCCGACAAGGGAUUAAUGACCAGAAUAAAGAGACCAAACAAUUUAAGCCAAAAACAAAACAAACAAACACACAAAAAAAACAAAAGCCAAAUAAUCUAAAAAGUGGGCAGGUUGGGUGGGGUGGCUCAAGCCUAUAAUCCCAGCACUUUGGGAGGCCAAGGCAGGCAGGUCAAGAGAUCGAGACCAUCCUGGCCAACAUGGUGAAACCCCAUCUCUACUGAAAAUACAAAAAAAAUUAGCCGGGUGUGGUGGCAUGUGCCUGUAGUCCCAGCUACUUGGGAAGCUGAGGCAGUGAGAAUCGCUUGAACCUGGGAGGCAGAGGUUGCAGUGAACCAAGAUCACACAACUGCACUCCAGCCUGAUGACAGAGCGAGACUCCAUCUUGAAAAAAAAAAAAAAAAAAGUGGGCAAAAGAUCCAAACAGACAUUUCUCAAAGGAAGACAUAAAAAUGGCCAACAGGUAUAUGAAAAAAUGCUCAACAUUACUAAUCAUUAGAGAAAUGCAAAUUAAAACAACAUGUUAUUUCACCCCAGUUAAAAUGGCUUGUAUUAAGAAAACAGAUAAUAACAGAUGCUAGUGAGGAUGUGGAGAAAAGAGAACCCUCAUACACUGUUGGUAGAAAUGUAAACUAGUACAACCACUAUGAAGAACAGUAUGGAAGUUCUUCAAAAAACUAAAAAUAGAAUUACCAUAUGAUCCAGCAAUUCCACUACUGAAUAUGUAUCCAAAAGAAAGGAAAUCCGUAUAUCAAAAAGAUAUCUGCACUCCCAUGUUUAUUGCAGCAUUGUUCACAAUAGCCAAGAUAUGGAAUUAACCUAAGUGCCCAUCAAUGGGUGAAUGGAUAAAGUGUGGUGGAUGGAAAGCCGAUUUCCAGUCUUUAUGAUAACGCCGAUGUUCCACUUGGGAAAGAUACUGUACAACAAUGAAAGUAGCCCUUUCUUUUGUCUUUCAAAGAAUGUAUUUUUAACAAACAGCCUCUGUGUGAUCCUUUUGACCACACAAUUUGUAGAGUUAACGCUGAAAUUUUCAUUAGCAACAAUGAAAGCACACACAGGCACAAUAUUAAUAUAGAUUAAUAUCAGCCUAUUUUGGUCAGAAAGGCUCAUUUAAAUGUUUAAGAGACAGAAGUCCCAAAUUGUAGUAAUUUCUUCCACUAGCAGGAGGAAGCUCAGAAUUAGUUUUUCUACAACACUAGAGGAAUACUACUCAAAAAUAAAAAGGAAUUAACCAUUGAUACAUGCAACAACACAGAUGAAUCUCAAAGUAAUUGUGCUGAAAGAAACCAGACCCAGAAAAAGAUAAAUUCUAUAUGAUCUCAUUUAUAUAAGACUCUAGGAAAUGCAAACUAAUCUACACAUACAGAAAACUGAGGGCAGGUACUGAGAAGGGUAGGAGGGGGGCGUUACAGAGAGGCAUGAGGAAACUUUUUGGGGUGAUAGAUAUGUUUACUACUUUGAUUGUAAGGAUGAGGUCGCAACUCUGUGCGUGUCAGUGGUAUAUUUUAAUAUGAACGGCUUAUUUUAUGUAAAUUCUACCCCUAUAAAGCUGUUUUUUUUAAAAAAAAAAACUUCUCUUUGAGAGACAUCACCUUUGUCUUUUAAACCAUCUAAUGUUGAAUCUAAAAGUUCAGUGUAAAGUUUAAUAAAAUCAGAGUGUGUAUGUGUCUUAAUUUCCAGGACAUAUAAUCAUAGUGAUUAAGCCAAAAGUGCUUAUAUGAUUACCUAUAAACUAUCAUAGUUAAAUGACUAAAUACCCUGCAUAAGGUAAAAUGAUUAUUUUAUUCCUAUAGAUUGAAAUUGCCCAACUUUUUAUUAGAGAAUAAUAGAUUAGAGGGCAUGUUGGCUCAUACCUGUAAGCCCAAUGCUUUGGGAGGCUGAAGCGGGAGGAUCCCUUGAGGCCAGGAGUUGAAGAUCAGCUUGGGCAACAUAGCAAGACCACAUCUCUACAAAAAAAUUUAAAAUAAAAUGUUUAUCCAAGCAUAGUGGCACUCACUCACCUGUAGUACUAGCUGCUGAGGAAGCUGAGGCCUGGAGUUCAAACUGCACAACGCUGCACUUCAACCUAUGUGACAAAGUGAGAUCCUAUCUCUAAAAUAAUUAAUUCAGUUUUUAUAAUUAGGGAACAUUUAAAUUCAGAUUAUAAGUAAAAAAUGGAAUAAACAGUCCUGUUACCUGAUAUGGUUUGGAUCUCCAUCCCUACCCAAAUCUUAUGUUGAAAUGUAAUCCCCAAUGCUGGAGGUGGGGCCUGGUGGGAGAUGAUUGGAUCAUGGUGGUGGUUUCUCAUGGUUUAACACCAUCGUCCCCUGGUGCUGUCGCCGUGAUGAUGAAUUCUCACGAGAUCUGGUUGGUUUAAAAGUGUGUGGCACCUCCCCCUUCUCUCUUGCUCCUGCUCCUACCAUGUGAGAUGCCUUGGUCCCCCUUUGCCUUCCGCCAUGAUUCAGAGUUCUCUGAGGCCUCCCCAGAAGCAGAUGCUGCCAUGCUUUCUGUACAGCCUGCAGAACCGUAAGCCAAUUAAACCUCUUUUCUUAUACAUUACCCAGUGUCAGAUAUUUCUUUAUAGCAGUGUGAGAAUGGAUUAAUACACUACGUCAUGCAAAAUGUAAAAACAGGCAACUCACUGAGAGUAAACCUAAUCAACUUGUUCAUUUAGAUAUAAACUGUAGAGACGACACUGCCAUCUAGUUGUUGAAUACUGAGUAUACUGUUGAAACAUUCUUGACAAUGUUCUAUUUCUCUUUUGUAGACUUACAAGGAACACACAGAAGCCCCUAACCAAUUACAUCUCCUUCCUAGGAGUGUGAAUGUGACUGCCAUAGUGCAGCCCAUGCUGCCCCUGGUAAUUAUAUGCCUCAACCCAAGCAGGAGCUUGUGAAAAAUGUGAGAGAAAGGACAAUGUCAUGUACCCCCAGUGUGAAGUAUAGCACCUGGAGAUAGCAGGCAUUCAAUAACUACUGGAUGGAUGGAGGCAUUAUGAAGUUUGCCAAGUUUGUUAACACUACUAAAGGUUUCAAUGAAUGUAAAAACAGUGGCAGAUGGGUGGUUUUCUUGACUGUGGGAAAGGUAAAAUAGUAUAAAGUACUAGCAAGUAUAAACACAGGCAUACCUCAUUUUAUUGCAUUUUGCUUUACUGUACUUUGCAGAUACUGCAUUUUUUACAAAUUAAAGGUUUAUGGCAACCCUCCAACAAACAAGUCUGUUAAUGCCACCCCAAAGUCAUGUGCUCAUUUUGUGUCUCUGUGUCACAUUUUGGUAAUUCCUGCAAUAUUUCAAACUUUGUAUUAUUAUUAUUUCUGUUACAGUGAUCUGUGGUCAGUGAUCUUUGAUGUUACUAUUUUGACCGUUUGUGGGCACCACAAACUGUGCCCAUAUAACAUCAGCGAACUUAAUAAAUGGUGUGUGUGUUCGGACUGCUCUACCAACCGGCCAUCCCCCUAUCUUUCUCCCUCUCCUCAAACCUCCUUAUUCCCUGAGACACAAUACUGAAAUCAGGCCAAUUAAUCACCCUGCAAUGGCCUCCCAGUGUUCAAGUUAAAAGAAGACUUGUACAUCUCUCAUUGUAAAUCAAAAGCUAGAAAUGGUUAAGCUUAAUGAAGAGGCAUGUCAAAAGCCAAGACAGGCUAAAAAAGCUAGGGUCUUGUGCCAAACCAUUAAUUCUUGAAGGAAAUUAGAAGUGUUACUCCAGUAAACACCUAAGAAAACCUUAUUGCUGAUACGGAGAAAAAGUUUUAGUGGUCUGGAUAGAAAAUCAAACCAGCCACAACAUUCCCUUAGGCCAAAGCCUAAUCCAGAGCAAGGUUCUAAAUUCAAUUCUAUGAAGACUGAGAGGUAAGGAAGCUACAGAAGUUUGAAGCUAGUAGAGGUUGGUUUAUGAGGUUUAAAGAAAGAAGUCAUCUCCAUAAAUAAAAGUGCAAGGUGAAGCAGAAAGUGCUGAUGUAGAAGCUGCAGGAGUUUAUCCAGAUCCAGCUAAGACCAUUGUUAAAGGUGGCUAUACUCAGUAACAGAUUUUCAAUGUAGAUGUAACAAGCCUUUUAUUGGAAGAAGCCACCUUAGACUUUCACCGCUACAGAGAAGUCAGUGCCUGGCUUCAAAUCUUCCAAGAACCGGCUGACUUGUUAAAAGCUAAUGCUGCUGGUGACUUUAUAUUGAAGCCAAUGCUCAUUUGCCAUUCUGAAAAUCCUAGGGCCCUUAACAAUUAUGCUAAAUCUACUCUGCCUGUACUCUAUAAAUGGGACAAAGCCUGGAAGACAGCACAUCUGUUUACAGCAUGAUUUACUGAAUAUUUUAAGCCCACCAUUGAGAUCUACUGCACAAAAAGAUUCCUUUCAAAAUAUUGCUGCUCAUUAACAAUCAUCUCGUAUCCCAAGAGCUCAGACGGAGAUGGACAACGAGAUUCAUGCUGUUUUCAAGCCUGCUAACACAAUGUCCACUCUAUAGCCCAUAGACCAUGGAGCAAUUUCAACUUUCAAGUCUUAUGAUUUAAGAAAUACAUGUUGUAAGGCUAUUGCUGCCAUAAAUAGUGAUUUCUCUGAUGGAUCUGUGCAAAGUAAAUUGAAAACUUUCUGGAAAGGAUUCACUAUUCUAGAUAUCAAUAAGAACAUUCAUGAUUCAUGGGAUGAGGGCAAAAUAUCAUUUACUGGAGUUUAGAAGUUGUUUCCUGUCCUCAGAGAUGACUUUUAAGGGUUCAAGACUUCAAUGGAGGAAGUAACUGCAGAUGUGGUAGAAAUUGCAAGAUAACUAGAAUUAGGCCAGGUGUGGUGGCUCAAGCCUAUAAUCCCAGCACUUUGGGAGGCUAAAGUGGGCAGAUCGCUUGAGGCCAGGAGUUUGAGACCAGCCUGGAGUGAAACCCUGUCUCUACAAAAAAUGCAAAAAAUUAGCCAGGCAUGGUGGCGUGUACCUGUAGUCCCAGCUACUCUAGAGGCUAAAGUGGGAGGAUCACUUGGGCCCAAGAGGUAGAGGCUGCAGUGAGCUGUGAUGGUGCCACUGCACUCCAGCCCGGGGGCAGAGCAAGACCCUAUCUCAAAAAGAAAAAAGGCCAGACGUGGUGGCUCAUGCCUGUAACUCCAGCACUUUGGGAGGCCAAGGCGGGAAGAUCAUUUGAGCUCAGAAGUUCAAGACCAACCUGGGCAACAUGGCAAAAUCCUGUCUCUACUAAAAAUACAAAAAUUAGCCAGGUGUAGUGGCACGCACCUGCAGUCUUAGUUCUUGGGAGGG
This 5947-nucleotide long non-coding RNA is filed under the name Homo sapiens (human). RNAcentral describes it as "non-protein coding lnc-SETD7-3:23". The record is from RNAcentral. Lineage: Eukaryota; Metazoa; Chordata; Mammalia; Primates; Hominidae.